UCAAGUGCGCGAACAAUUGCUAUACAGAAGAUUCAGUUGAUAUUAAACAUUUGGAGUACUCGCAAUGAGAAUCUGCAGGAGGAAAGCAUAACUGGGGACUGCUCUAUAAACAAAGCUGGUGUUAAAAGGCUAUUGGAUUGCUGUCACAGAUAUUUCGGAUAAGCUAUUCUCCAUCUCCAGUAUAAGGCUUAUCUGUGAAGGAUCUUAAUUCAUGGCGAAUCUUCCCAUGGUCACUCAAGGCAUAACACAUUACACCAUCAAGCUUCAAGAUAUCGCUAACUCAGGUGGACUUUAUGGUAGACAUAUACAGGUUAGAACUUGCCUGUCUUUCUCAUAUCCGUAGAUUACUUAGGAGACAGUCUGGUAAAUUGUACACAAGAAAGACAUGUGCAACCAAAAGAAAUACUCAUAUUUUAAAAGCUAGAAGUCUAUCUUCCGACAUAAAA
Molecule: non-coding RNA, 446 nt
Organism: Camelina sativa (false flax)
Lineage: Eukaryota; Viridiplantae; Streptophyta; Magnoliopsida; Brassicales; Brassicaceae
Source: RefSeq, a predicted model, not a curated record